Molecule: long non-coding RNA, 499 nt
Organism: Mauremys mutica (yellowpond turtle)
Lineage: Eukaryota; Metazoa; Chordata; Testudines; Geoemydidae
Exons: 3
Source: RefSeq, a predicted model, not a curated record
GACCUUCAGCUCUUUGCCCAUCUAGGUCUGGGUUUUCUUGGUUUUCUUUAGGUCCCAUCACUGUGGUAGCCAGGUGCUUCCCACGUAAAUUAGAUUUGUAUGGCAAGGUCCCUGGCAGACUUCAAGGAGUCUUAUGCUUUUCUCCUCUUUCUGGUUUUGAGAAACUGCUUGGGAUAUACAUAUAUUUUCCUUUCCUUCUCCCACAUCCUUCUGGUUAUGGUGUGGAAACUUUAUCGAAGAGGAGGUGGUCUUGGUGAAUACCCUAUUGGUGAGAGAAAUCUGUCUCCUGCUGCAGCACAGUCAUCAUCCCACAGCAGACAUAUGUUUGAACUGAUGCAUCCCUAGUUGUUUUAAAACAGGAUAGGAUUCAGAGCACUAAAUACAGAUGGCAAAUCUGAUUGAAAAAUGUGUGGCCUGAUUCACCACUGCUUCACUGAUAGUUUUGCAGCAGUGUGACUCAAUCAUUUUCAGUGGCAUUACAUCCUGCCAAAAUCUGGAG